Molecule: ribosomal RNA, 254 nt
Filed under: uncultured bacterium
Lineage: Bacteria
Description: partial 16S ribosomal RNA
Rfam family: Bacterial small subunit ribosomal RNA
Source: RNAcentral
UACGAAGGGGGCUAGCGUUGCUCGGAAUUACUGGGCGUAAAGCGCACGUAGGCGGAUCUUUUAAGUCAGGGGUGAAAGCCUGGAGCUCAACUCCAGAACUGCCUUUAAGACUGCAUCGCUUGAAUCCAGGAGAGGUGAGUGGAAUUCCGAGUGUAGAGGUGAAAUUCGUAGAUAUUCGGAAGAACACCAGUGGCGAAGGCGGCUCACUGGACUGGUAUUGACGCUGAGGUGCGAAAGCGUGGGGAGCAAACAGG